GAUGAACGCUGGCGGCGUGCCUAAUACAUGCAAGUCGAGCGAACAGACGAGGAGCUUGCUCCUCUGACGUUAGCGGCGGACGGGUGAGUAACACGUGGAUAACCUACCUAUAAGACUGGGAUAACUUCGGGAAACCGGAGCUAAUACCGGAUAAUAUAUUGAACCGCAUGGUUCAAUAGUGAAAGACGGUUUUGCUGUCACUUAUAGAUGGAUCCGCGCCGCAUUAGCUAGUUGGUAAGGUAACGGCUUACCAAGGCAACGAUGCGUAGCCGACCUGAGAGGGUGAUCGGCCACACUGGAACUGAGACACGGUCCAGACUCCUACGGGAGGCAGCAGUAGGGAAUCUUCCGCAAUGGGCGAAAGCCUGACGGAGCAACGCCGCGUGAGUGAUGAAGGUCUUCGGGUCGUAAAACUCUGUUAUUAGGGAAGAACAAAUGUGUAAGUAACUAUGCACGUCUUGACGGUACCUAAUCAGAAAGCCACGGCUAACUACGU
RNAcentral lists this ribosomal RNA (496 nucleotides) under uncultured bacterium. RNAcentral describes it as "partial 16S ribosomal RNA". It matches the Rfam family "Bacterial small subunit ribosomal RNA", at positions 28 to 506 of the family's 1533-position model. The record is from RNAcentral.